AUUCCUACAAGCCUGGGGAGUAGCUCUCAUGCAGAAUUACUAUGGAUGGUAACUGGUGUCUCUAAAUUGAGUGGUUCUGAUUGCAACUCUUUGGCUCGAGUGAGGGUUCUUUCUGGUUUUAAGAAAAGUAAUCCUGAUUCUGUUGGCCAUGAGUUAACUGUGAUGAGAGAUGAUGAACUACCUGGAGCAGAGAAACUACUAGAGAAGUUGCAGGGAAGUGUGUCACUUGAGGAGAAUGUUUUUUUAGCAGCCGCUGAAGCUGUGAAAACAGCAAUGUGUAAUUUGUUAAUUAAGAAGCAGUACUCCAUGGAGAAGAGAGAAUUUAGAAAGAGAAGUAGAAAUGAUAGGAAAAUCAAACAAUGAUAGACUCAACAGUUGUAACUGCUGAUUCAUGGGUUGGAGGCAUCUGAGCUUAAUUUAUUUUUGUAGUUGUCUUAGAUAGCCCUUCUAAUCUGUU
This 457-nucleotide unclassified non-coding RNA is filed under the name Hevea brasiliensis (rubber tree). Lineage: Eukaryota; Viridiplantae; Streptophyta; Magnoliopsida; Malpighiales; Euphorbiaceae. The record is from RNAcentral.